GACGAACGCUGGCGGCGUGCUUAACACAUGCAAGUCGAACGGAAAGGCCCUGCUUAUGUGGGGUGCUCGAGUUGCGAACGGGUGAGUAACACGUGAGUUACCUGCCCUUGACUUUGGGAUAACUUCAGGAAACUGGGUCUAAUACCAGCUAGGAGCUCCUGCUGCAUGGUGGGGGUUGGAAAGUUUCGGCGGUUGGUGAUGUACUCGCGGCUUAUCAGCUUGUUGGUUGGGUAGUGGCUUACCAUGGCUUUGACGGGUAGCCGGCCUGCGAGGAUGACCGGCCAAGUUGGGACUGAGAUACGGCCCAGACUCCUACGGGAGGCAGCGGUGGGGAAUAUUGCACAAUGGGCGGAAGCAUGAUGCAGCAACGCCGCGUGCGGGAUGUCGGCCUUCGGGUUGUAUUCCGCUUUCGUCUGUGACGAAGCGUGAGUGACGGUAAUGGGUAAAGAAGCACCGGCUAACUACGUG
RNAcentral lists this ribosomal RNA (468 nucleotides) under uncultured bacterium. RNAcentral's name for it is "partial 16S ribosomal RNA". It matches the Rfam family "Bacterial small subunit ribosomal RNA", at positions 28 to 507 of the family's 1533-position model. The record is from RNAcentral.